UCAGAGACUUAAGCGGAUUCUCAAAUUUAGGGUUGCUUAUCAAUGAAAUACACUAUCAAAUCUCUCUCUAUUUCUAUCGCUUCUUCUCUUCUCAAUCUUUCACUUCUAAACAAUGUUAUGUUCUUUGUUGGGGAUUUGAACCUAGCAGCUUCUUCGUUUGUGUCUUUGGAGUUAUUUAAUCCAUCAUCUGUUGUUUUAGCGGUGAUUAGCAGGGAUAUAGAGUUCCUGAUUUGAGAUCUCGAUUAGCAGCAGCUCAAGACAUCUCCUUAGCUCAUGUUUAAGGAUGAUGGCGCUCCAAUUUAUUGAUCCCCUUUGGGUCGAUCUGAGUUUAUCUCACUUGAUUCGUGUUCCCAGAUCUAGCCUCUUAAGGACAGAGAUCGGUUUUCUCUGUUGUUGAUGUUCGAUUCGUCCUGCGGAGUUGCAAUCUUAUUGGUUCAAGUCAAGGAGAUUCUCGAUCUCAAGCUUGUUCGUCAAUCCUCUUGUUAGCGCCCUCUUCCGUUUUGAAAAGGGAAUGUAAAGGAUUUGGCCAUCACCAACAUCAGAGGAGGGAUGUUUGAUUGGUGAUUGGGUUUAAAUGGGAGUUUUGAAUCGCAUGUGUUGGUUGGUAUGGAGACGAGUAUGUAUUGAAUGCGUCUUUUACUUCAAAUUUUCCAAUUUAUAUCGUAUUUUGAAGAAUUGGGAUUGGGAAUGUUUUGCGAAUCAGGAGUUAUGUUAUAAAUUUUGGGUAUAGUUGCUUAAAUGGAGUUUUAUUUUGUGAAUUCAGAGAUCGUGACUGGGAAAAUAUGUUCAGUUUUCUGAUAUAUUCAAGAGAAGUGUUUACAAUGCUUUAAAUAGAUUACAAAAGAAUCUUUAAGAGGAUCCGAUAAAAUCAAAUCUACAACUAUAAAAAACUUGUGGAACAACCUUAACAACUUCUUGUUCCAAACUGCCUGCAUAUCUCGCUAAUACCCUCCCUCAAGUUGGAGCAUGGAGGUCUGUAAUGCCCAACUUGAAACAAAAACGAUAAAACUCUUGUCUUCCCAAUGGUUUAGUAAAAAUAUCAGCAAGCUGAGACUCACUCUUGACAUGUAGGAGACAAAUGUUUUUAGUUAUCACCUCUUCUCGGACAAAGUGGCAAUCGACCUCCACAUGUUUUGUGCGCUCAUGAAACACUGGGUUUGUUGCGAUAUGAAUGGCGGCUUUGCUAUCGCAGCGAACAUUCAUCGGUUGAUUGUGUUUGACUCCGAGCGCUGAAAGAAUUGUUUUUAACCAAAUCAAUUCUUGAGUCAAAUAUGCCAAUGCUCGGUAUUCUGCUUCUUCCGAGGAUCUACUCACUGUCUUUUGCUUUUUCGUCUUCCAUGAGAUAGGUGACCCUCCCAGCUAUAUGAAGUAUCCAGUUACGGAUUUUCUUGAUAGCCUGCAGCUUGCGUAGUCACUAUCACACCAUCCGGACAAUUGAAAAGGUGUGUCUGCUCGUAACAAUAUCCCCUGACCAGGAUUGUUUUUCAAAUAUCGAACCACCCGCAAGGCUGCUCCCCAAUGAUCUUCUCUCGGCUUUUGCAUAAACAGAGCAAGAAAGUGAAAAGAGAACGCUAAAUCGGGUCGAGUCACAGCCAAGUAUAUCAAUCUACCCACCAAUCUUCUAUAAGGUUCAGGGUUGUUUAAAAACGCGGACUUCGACAAUGACAAGUCAUUGUUUGUUUCCAAAGGAAACGCUACAGGUUUCGCACCAAGUAGUCCAACAUCUGAGAUAAUGUCCAAUGCGUACUUUCUUUAACAAAGAUACAUACCGGUAGAGUUUCUUGCUACUUCAAUUCCCAGGAAGUAUUUUAAUUGGCCUAAGUCCUUCAUGUGAAAGCACGACAACAAGUAAUCUUUAAAAUCAUUCAUGACCUUAAGUGAGAUCGUCGACAUACACUAAAACGUGAAGUGACUCUCCAUUUGCAUCCUUGGUGAACAAUGAAUAAUCAGAGAGAUUUUGCUCAAAUUCAAAUUUUUUAACGCCGUAGACAAUUUGGCAAACCAGGACCUCGGACUCUGCUUCAAUCCAUAAAUAGACUUUCGAAGUCUGCAUACCUUGUUCGGAUCGGUUGCUUUAAACCCUGAUGGUAGCUUCAUAUAAAUUUCUUCUUCAAGGUCGCCGUGAAGAAACACAUUGUAGACGUCCUUCUGGUGAACAUCCCACUUGUUCUUAACUGCCGUAUCUAAGAACAAUCUCACGGUUCCCAUUUUAGCUACCGGCGCAAAAGUUUAUCCAUAGUCUACUCCUUCAACUUGUUUGUUUCCAAGAGCAACCAGUUUGGCUUUAUGUCUCUCCAAGGUGCCAUCAGACUUGUAUUUGAUCUUGUAAACCCAUUUACAUCCUAUUGCCUUUUUCCCUUUAGGCAAAUCCUCUAUGGUCAACGAAUGAUUUCUUUCCUGAGAAUCAAUUUAUGAACCCAUUGCCCCUUUCAAUCUAUCGUCUUCCAUUGCCUUUUUAAACGAUUUUGCCUCUACGCCCUGAGUAAUUGCAACCAUGUAUGCUUUAUGUGACUCAGAGAAACGCUCACAGUCAACGUAAUUGGCAAUCAGAUACUCAGAUGUGGACUUGUUCUUCUUUGUUUUUGGAUUUCCAGUCUCAAUCACGAAUUCCUUCAAUUUUACUGAAUGUGUUCUCUGCCUCUUUCCUCGACCCAAUUGUUCAGUAGGAAACGAUUUCUUUGUUUGUACUUGCGGUGAUGUUAAUGGUGGAGGUCGUGACGUCGUCGAUCGUGGAAUCUCUGAGGAAGAAGAUGAUGGCAAGUUACGAAGAGGAACGUGACG
RNAcentral lists this long non-coding RNA (2781 nucleotides) under Arabidopsis thaliana (thale cress). Its description in RNAcentral is "potential natural antisense gene, locus overlaps with AT2G09800 (AT2G09795)". The record is from RNAcentral. Lineage: Eukaryota; Viridiplantae; Streptophyta; Magnoliopsida; Brassicales; Brassicaceae.